CUGGCGCAUACUAUACAUGCAAGUCGAGCGGACAGAAGGGAGCUUGCUCCCGGAUGUUAGCGGCGGACGGGUGAGUAACACGUGGGUAACCUGCCUGUAAGACUGGGAUAACUCCGGGAAACCGGAGCUAAUACCGGAUAGUUCCUUGAACCGCAUGGUUCAAGGAUGAAAGACGGUUUCGGCUGUCACUUACAGAUGGACCCGCGGCGCAUUAGCUAGUUGGUGAGGUAACGGCUCACCAAGGCGACGAUGCGUAGCCGACCUGAGAGGGUGAUCGGCCACACUGGGACUGAGACACGGCCCAGACUCCUACGGGAGGCAGCAGUAGGGAAUCUUCCGCAAUGGACGAAAGUCUGACGGAGCAACGCCGCGUGAGUGAUGAAGGUUUUCGGAUCGUAAAGCUCUGUUGUUAGGGAAGAACAAGUGCAAGAGUAACUGCUUGCACCUUGACGGUACCUAACCAGAAAGCCACGGCUAACUACGUGCCAGCAGCCGCGGUAAUACGUAGGUGGCAAGCGUUGUCCGGAAUUAUUGGGCGUAAAGGGCUCGCAGGCGGUUUCUUAAGUCUGAUGUGAAAGCCCCCGGCUCAACCGGGGAGGGUCAUUGGAAACUGGGAAACUUGAGUGCAGAAGAGGAGAGUGGAAUUCCACGUGUAGCGGUGAAAUGCGUAGAGAUGUGGAGGAACACCAGUGGCGAAGGCGACUCUCUGGUCUGUAACUGACGCUGAGGAGCGAAAGCGUGGGGAGCGAACAGGAUUAGAUACCCUGGUAGUCCACGCCGUAAACGAUGAGUGCUAAGUG
RNAcentral lists this ribosomal RNA (800 nucleotides) under Bacillus stratosphericus. RNAcentral describes it as "bacterial SSU rRNA". It matches the Rfam family "Bacterial small subunit ribosomal RNA", at positions 39 to 822 of the family's 1533-position model. Lineage: Bacteria; Bacillati; Bacillota; Bacilli; Caryophanales; Bacillaceae. The record is from RNAcentral.